Molecule: non-coding RNA, 26 nt
Filed under: Homo sapiens (human)
Lineage: Eukaryota; Metazoa; Chordata; Mammalia; Primates; Hominidae
Source: RNAcentral
AGGGGCAUCAGUGUGUGCACACAGCA